CUCAACCCUAUCUAUAACGAAAAGGAGAUGGAGAAACUCAUUAUUUUCUCCGCCUCCCUCUCGUUUCUCUUUCUCCUCCUCGUCUUAUCCUUCUGAACCUUCUCCUUAGUUUCUCAGAUAAAGCAAAGAGAUUUGCUUCUUCAUCUCACUACUUCCACUAUCACCAUAACACCACCGCAGAGAAAGAACCUCUUUCUUCUUUAACUGAACUUAGAGGGAAACCUAAACUUAUCGAAAUCUCAUAUCUGGAAACCCAUUUUGUAGAAAUUAAAUCUAUCUUUGAAGAACCUGUAUUCAGAAACCCCAGAGAAUCGAUUUUGAGACAAUAAAAAUUCUGAGUAUAAAAUUGAUUUUGUAAUUUGAAAAGAAGAAUAAGGUAAACUCUAAACUCUAAACCCAUUACUUGUUUUUUCUUUUGAUUUGAAGACUAUAAGAAGAUUCAAGUAUUAAUAUGUUACUUUCUUUUCCCUAGUAUUCAUUUACAGUAGAAAAAAAGGAUUCGUUUUUCUUCUUCUUCUAUCAAGAAAUCGUUUCUUUCAGAAACACGAUACAGAUUUUAAGGAGUUAUUCUAAGACCAAUUACCAACUCAGUUGGAUUUCUAAGGAAUCGCUAGGAUUGAGGUCUUCAAACAAGCUUGGGGAGAUUGCUGAUGUGCGUUUCUCCUCAGUCGAGGACGAAAGGUUCAAAGGAUUCGGCUAUGUUGAGUUUGUAAUGACAGGAGAUCAAUCUCUGCCUUCUGCAUAGUUUCGGUAAUAACCCUAUUUCCUGGUCUUCAAAGAAACAGAAUACAGUUGCUCGUAACUCUACAGAGGUUGAAUAUAGAUCAUUAGUACAAACUACUGCAUAAGUUAUAUGGGUAUGUCAACUGGAAAUCCUGAUGACAGGAGAUCAACCUCUGGCAUCUUCAUAGCUUUCUUUCUUACACUCCUACCAUUGGUGGUGAUAACCUCAGCUCUAUCUCCCUUGCUGCCAAUCCUGUUCAACAUAGUCGAAUGGAACAUAUUGCAGUCGACUAUCAUUUUAUUCGUGAACUUGUGCAAUCCAAGACUUUGAAGUUGUAUUAUAUCUCCACUAGUCAACAGGUUGCUGACAUCUUCACUAAGGGCUUAUCCUCUACCAGGUUUGAGUUUCUUAAAGACAAAUUGAAUGUGUUGGUGCCACCACAGCUCAAUUUGCUGGGGGAUAAUAGUGUAACAAAAGUGUGACCGAGUCACUGGGUCUGUUUGUACAUCAGUGCUACACUGAAGUCUUAUUUCUCAAUCAGUUGUAACUGUCUAUGACGGUCUGUCAUUGUGUCUGUAUGUCUGUAUAUAAACAUUAAACAGCACUCUCUCUUCUCCUUUAAUGAAACUGUAUCUUCUUUCCUCAA
This is a long non-coding RNA of Papaver somniferum (opium poppy), 1370 nucleotides long. RefSeq lists it as uncharacterized. The transcript has 3 exons. NCBI's taxonomy places the organism in Eukaryota, Viridiplantae, Streptophyta, Magnoliopsida, Ranunculales, Papaveraceae. The record is from RefSeq and is a predicted model, not a curated record.